RNAcentral lists this unclassified non-coding RNA (431 nucleotides) under Hevea brasiliensis (rubber tree). Lineage: Eukaryota; Viridiplantae; Streptophyta; Magnoliopsida; Malpighiales; Euphorbiaceae. The record is from RNAcentral.
CUUUUUUUAAAAAAAAAAGACAACUCCAAUACUUGCAUUAGGCUUUUUUGCAGCUUAAAUUUAUGCCUUUAAUCUACAAAGCCUUAAUAAACCAAAAAUAGUUGAAACUCCAGGGCAAAUGAGGCAAUGCAAGCCUAAUAAUCUGAAUGGCCUUGUGAAUCUGACGACAAUUCCAGCGUAGAAAGUAUAUAUUUUAUGUCGAGUUUGCCUUGGUCAGCAUAUAAAAUACAAAGUCAGUCACCAGCAUAUAAAGUGAGUCAUAAAUUACAAAUCAAUCUGCAUCUUCAACACUAAAAUCAGGUUCAGGAGGCUUCUGUAGUUUCACCAAUUCCCUAGCAGUCUUCGCAUUCCGAUUUCGAUGAACACCACGAAGAGCAUUGGCUGCAAACCUUGUAGCCAAAAAGGUAGCACCAAUGCUGUACGAACCUCCA